This 406-nucleotide ribosomal RNA is filed under the name uncultured bacterium. RNAcentral's name for it is "partial 16S ribosomal RNA". It matches the Rfam family "Bacterial small subunit ribosomal RNA", at positions 29 to 526 of the family's 1533-position model. The record is from RNAcentral.
AUUGAACGCUGGCGGCAGGCCUAACACAUGCAAGUCGAGCGAGCGGCGGACGGGUGAGUAAUGUCUGGGAAACUGCCUGAUGGAGGGGGAUAACUACUGGAAACGGUAGCUAAUACCGCGUACCAUCUGAGGUGCCCAGAUGGGAUUAGCUAGUAGGUGGGGUAACGGCUCACCACGGCGACGAGCCCUAGCUGGUCUGAGAGGGUGACCAGCCACACUGGAACUGAGACACGGUCCAGACUCCUACGUGAGGCAGCAGUGGGGAAUAUUGCACAAUGGGCGCAAGCCUGAUGCAGCCAUGCCGCGUGUGUGAAGAAGGCCUUCGGGUUGUAAAGCACUGUCAGCGGGGAGGCGUUACCCGCAGAAGAAGCACCGGCUAACACCGUGCCAGCAGCCGCGGUAAUUC